This 20-nucleotide microRNA is filed under the name Anolis carolinensis (green anole). Its description in RNAcentral is "aca-miR-219-2-3p". Its record names the gene aca-miR-219-2-3p. The record is from miRBase by way of RNAcentral. Lineage: Eukaryota; Metazoa; Chordata; Lepidosauria; Squamata; Anolidae.
AGAGUUGAGUCUGGACAUCA